CCUACCGGCCCGCGGAAGGCCAGUCUUGCCGGCCAUGCAGCGUCUGUGACAGGACUUUGGUCUACAAGCAGAAAUGUACCGCAACUUCCAACGCCGUUUGUGAAUGUGCUCCGGGUUAUUCAUGUGGGAAAAAUUGUGAGGCGUGUAAGUGUGAGCUCGGACAGCAACGCACGAUUGCAGGUUGUCAAAGCUGUCCAGACAAGACUUUCAAUGAUCAGCGUACAGGUGAAUGCCGACCAUGGAGAAAGUGUCCGGGUGGUAAGAUUCAAGAACCAGGGACCGAGAAGAAAGAUGUGGUUUGCUGGACUCAGCCAGAAGUCUCCACCAGCCAGCCUUUCACUUCCCUGUCUGUCUUCUCUACUAAGGUUUC
This is a non-coding RNA of Pseudonaja textilis, 370 nucleotides long. NCBI's taxonomy places the organism in Eukaryota, Metazoa, Chordata, Lepidosauria, Squamata, Elapidae. The record is from RefSeq and is a predicted model, not a curated record.